Molecule: ribosomal RNA, 497 nt
Filed under: uncultured bacterium
Lineage: Bacteria
Description: partial 16S ribosomal RNA
Rfam family: Bacterial small subunit ribosomal RNA
Source: RNAcentral
GAUGAACGCUGGCGGCGUGCCUAAUACAUGCAAGUCGAGCGAACAGACGAGGAGCUUGCUCCUCUGACGUUAGCGGCGGACGGGUGAGUAACACGUGGAUAACCUACCUAUAAGACUGGGAUAACUUCGGGAAACCGGAGCUAAUACCGGAUAAUAUAUUUAACCGCAUGGUUCAAUAGUGAAAGACGGUUUUGCUGUCACUUAUAGAUGGAUCCGCGCCGCAUUAGCUAGUUGGUAAGGUAACGGCUUACCAAGGCAACGACGCGUAGCCGACCUGAGAGGGUGAUCGGCCACACUGGAACUGAGACACGGUCCAGACUCCUACGGGAGGCAGCAGUAGGGAAUCUUCCGCAAUGGGCGAAAGCCUGACGGAGCAACGCCGCGUGAGUGAUGAAGGUCUUCGGAUCGUAAAACUCUGUUAUUAGGGAAGAACAAAUGUGUAAGUAACUAUGCACGUCUUGACGGUACCUAAUCAGAAAGCCACGGCUAACUACGUG